AAUAGAUACCCCGGUAGUCCACGCCGUAAACGAUGAGUGCUAAGUGUUAGAGGGUUUCCGCCCUUUAGUGCUGAAGUUAACGCAUUAAGCACUCCGCCUGGGGAGUACGGCCGCAAGGCUGAAACUCAAAGGAAUUGACGGGGGCCCGCACAAGCGGUGGAGCAUGUGGUUUAAUUCGAAGCAACGCGAAGAACCUUACCAGGUCUUGACAUCCUCUGACAACCCUAGAGAUAGGGCUUCUCCUUCGGGAGCAGAGUGACAGGUGGUGCAUGGUUGUCGUCAGCUCGUGUCGUGAGAUGUUGGGUUAAGUCCCGCAACGAGCGCAACCCUUGAUCUUAGUUGCCAGCAUUCAGUUGGGCACUCUAAGGUGACUGCCGGUGACAAACCGGAGGAAGGUGGGGAUGACGUCAAAUCAUCAUGCCCCUUAUGACCUGGGCUACACACGUGCUACAAUGGAUGGUACAAAGAGCUGCGAACCCGCGAGGGUAAGCGAAUCUCAUAAAGCCAUUCUCAGUUCGGAUUGUAGG
RNAcentral lists this ribosomal RNA (527 nucleotides) under uncultured bacterium. Its description in RNAcentral is "bacterial SSU rRNA". It matches the Rfam family "Bacterial small subunit ribosomal RNA", at positions 777 to 1304 of the family's 1533-position model. The record is from RNAcentral.